Molecule: ribosomal RNA, 476 nt
Filed under: uncultured bacterium
Lineage: Bacteria
Description: bacterial SSU rRNA
Rfam family: Bacterial small subunit ribosomal RNA
Source: RNAcentral
CGGACGACGCUGGCGGCGUGCCUAACACAUGCAAGUCGAGCGGGGUUGAAGCGAGGGGUAACUCGAGUUUCUACCUAGCGGCGGACGGGUGAGUAACGCGUGGGCAACCUGCCUCAAGGACUGGGAUAACAGCUCGAAAGGGCUGCUAAUACCGGAUAAGCCUAUGGCCUCGCAUGGGGCCAUGAGCAAAGGGGAAACCCGCCUUGAGAUGGGCCCGCGUCCCAUCAGCUAGUUGGUGAGGUGAAGGCUCACCAAGGCGACGACGGGUAGCCGGCCUGAGAGGGUGACCGGCCACACUGGGACUGAGACACGGCCCAGACUCCUACGGGGGGCAGCAGUGGGGAAUCUUGCACAAUGGGCGAAAGCCUGAUGCAGCGACGCCGCGUGAGCGAAGAAGGCCUUCGGGUUGUAAAGCUCUGUCUGGAGGGACGAAGGAAGUGACGGUACCUCCGGAGGAAGCCACGGCUAACUACGUG